Molecule: non-coding RNA, 1085 nt
Organism: Danio rerio (zebrafish)
Lineage: Eukaryota; Metazoa; Chordata; Actinopteri; Cypriniformes; Danionidae
Source: RefSeq, a predicted model, not a curated record
UCUCUCCUCUGUGUGUGUGUGUGUGUGCGUGCAGCUGUGCGUCCGGUGUCUCUCUCUCUGACCCCGAGAGCAUCAGUAUCGUCUCUGAGGAAGAGCUCCAGCUCCACACUGCCCUCCUCAGCCUCCUCCAGGAACUACAGCCCGUCCUCAACAGCAGCAAAGAGAACUGCUGCUGGAUCCUCCAGAGAGCCCCCGAACAGUAAAGCUAAGAGCAGCAGCAGCAGGAAACCGCUGGAGAGCAAACCAAAAGAUGGAGGUGCAGCUGCUGCAGGAGUCAGGCGUGUCGCUCACUGCAGAGUGACUCUGCAGAUUUUCCUGAGGCCUCAGUGCAGAAGAAGGACUGGAUCAACUGAGGUCUCCCCCUGUCCGGUCCUCAAGAGCCCCCUCAGAUCCCCCAGUCAGUACUUCCAGAUCUGCUACUGACUGAUGACAAGUGUUCUGGAGGAUGAAGAGCGCCUGACUCUGGAGCAGGACUACAUCAGAACAGAUUCAUUGUGUGUGUGUGUGUGUGUGUGUGUGUGUGUGUGUGUGUGUGUGUGCACGUGUGCAUGCGUGUGUGUAUGCGUGCGCGUGUGUGUGCACGUGUGCAUGCGUGUGUGUGUGUGUGCCUGUGUGUGUGUGUUUGUUUCUGCUGUGUUGUAGUUUAGAAGCUCCAGCAUCAGGUGACUAUUACCUGGGUCUAUCAUAAGAGAUGAUGAUGAUGAUGAUGAUGAUGAUGAUGAUGAUGAUGAUGAUGAUGAUGAUGCUGAGAGAGUGUUUUCUUCAUGGACAGCUCCACGCUAAGAGGAGCUUUAGAGAUAUUAGUGAUUUCUGCAUGUAAAGCUGUUUAGUGGCUAUAAACUGUAUUUGUAUCUAAGUCUGGCGGCUGUUUUGGAUGACAUGACAGGAUUCAGACGUCCUCAUUAAAGUACUGAAUAGUGGAUUAGUAUGGGUCACACAAUAAUCAUAGCGUAGUACCGUUUUGAAUGUGUUUGUGUGUAUUCAUACAUUAGACUGUGUUUUGAUUAUUUAUCUUUCUCUAAGGAGCAUAAUUAAGAUCCUCUAUUUUUCACCAUGAUUUCUAGAAUAAACAAUCUAAAAUGUCA